UCAGUGUGUCAGUCACACCGGGAUUCAUUCACUGAGUUCCGGGAGCAAGGCAGCUUUUCAAGGCUGGGCACUAAACAGGGGGAGCUUUGUGAGUGCCUAGACUCCUCUGCCGGCCACCUGCUCUUCCUCUCCUUGGCUUCCACGAAGAAAGCUGCAUGAGAGCAGGGAAUUGCUUUGUCCAAUGCUAAUCACUAAAGCUUAGAAUACUGCUUGUUACAUGGGCCAGAAGUCAAGAAUAGGAGAGCAGCAGAAAACCACUAAAUAUGACAGCCAGCUUCACAUGGUUAGGUGGAAACAUCAUUGAUGCAGGAUUUUUCUUUGUCUCCUUACCAGUUGGGGACCUCUGGCUGGUGAUGUUACCUGCCACAGGAUGUGCCCUGCCCAAUCAGCUUGCCAAGUCUAGCUUGUGCACUGGUUCCUGAGUUCUUGUCCUGUGCCCAAGAAGAAUGAGGAUGUGCUGACCAUUGAAGGAGUCUUGUUCUGUUGACCAGGCUGGAAUGCUGUGGUGUGAUCUCGCCUCAUUUCAACCUCCACCUCCCAGGUUCAAGCGAUUCUCCUGCCUCAGCCUCCCGAGUAGCUGAGACUACAGAGCCACCUCUUAGUUGGACUAUUUCACUGCAACAGUCCCCUUCAGCUGGUGAGUCUCU
This 647-nucleotide long non-coding RNA is filed under the name Homo sapiens (human). RNAcentral describes it as "novel transcript". Lineage: Eukaryota; Metazoa; Chordata; Mammalia; Primates; Hominidae. The record is from RNAcentral.